RNAcentral lists this ribosomal RNA (255 nucleotides) under uncultured bacterium. RNAcentral's name for it is "partial 16S ribosomal RNA". It matches the Rfam family "Bacterial small subunit ribosomal RNA", at positions 15 to 266 of the family's 1533-position model. The record is from RNAcentral.
GAUCCUGGCUCAGGAUGAACGCUAGCUACAGGCUUAACACAUGCAAGUCGAGGGGCAUCGGGAUGUAGCAAUACAUUGCCGGCGACCGGCGCACGGGUGAGUAACACGUAUCCAACCUGCCUUUUACUCGGGGAUAGGCUUUCGAAGAAAGAUUAAUACCCGAUGGUAUAAUAUUCCUGCAUGGGAUUAUUAUUAAAGAAUUCGGUUAAAGGAUGGGGAGUGCGUUCCAUUAGGCAGUUGGCGGGGUAACGGCCC